CAGCCGUAAACUAUGCGCGUUAGGUGUAUCGGUGACCACGAGUCACCGAGGUGCCGAAGGGAAACCGUGAAACGUGCCGCCUGGGAAGUACGGUCGCAAGGCUGAAACUUAAAGGAAUUGGCGGGGAGCACCACAACGGGUGGAGCCUGCGGGUUUAAAUUUGGACUCAACGCCGGGAAGCUCACCGGAUAAGACAGCGGAAUGAUUGCCGGGCUGAAGACUCUGCAUGACUAGCUGAGAGGAGGUGCAUGGCGUAGACGUCU
RNAcentral lists this ribosomal RNA (263 nucleotides) under uncultured archaeon. RNAcentral describes it as "partial 16S ribosomal RNA". It matches the Rfam family "Archaeal small subunit ribosomal RNA", at positions 748 to 1009 of the family's 1478-position model. The record is from RNAcentral.